UGGGCUUGUAGCUCAGCGGUAAGAGCUGCCGGCUCAUAACCGGUGAGACGCGAGUUCGAAUCUCGCCGAGCCCAAC
This 76-nucleotide transfer RNA is filed under the name Virus Rctr197k. RNAcentral's name for it is "tRNA-Met". It matches the Rfam family "tRNA". Rfam says of the family: Transfer RNA (tRNA) molecules are approximately 80 nucleotides in length. Lineage: Duplodnaviria; Heunggongvirae; Uroviricota; Caudoviricetes. The record is from RNAcentral.